AGGGGAUACAUAAGGAAUAACUAAAGCAAUGAUGCAGCAGGUAGCUGAAAUGGGUUAUCCUCUGGAAUCUCUUCAUUUUCUGUCAGCCACCACUAAUGGUCUAUCAGCUACAAUUCGACAAAUUACCACGAGAAUUAGUACUGUUGAGAGAUAUAUCUUGUUUGAUUUAGGCAGUCAGAGUACUCUUCUGUUCUGUCCUCUGCCCUCUCAUCCCAUCCUGUGGACAGAAGCACAAAGACUUGCUAUACCUGAAACAUAUUUGCCUUCAGAAGAACAAGACUUUGAGAAUUGAAAGACCCUGAUCACGUUUUCAGCAGUGCUCCUAUAGAUCCUUGAAAGGCUUCUUUUGAAGAAGAGUUCUUUCAAAAUACAUUUGGAAAUGGAAAAAGUAAGUUUUCAAGAAUGUUACUCUGAAGAUGCUCUUCAAAAAGCUUUAAAUAAAUUUUUGAUAAAAUGUGUG
RNAcentral lists this long non-coding RNA (460 nucleotides) under Parus major (Great Tit). Its description in RNAcentral is "lncRNA (ENSPMJG00000005713.1)". The record is from RNAcentral. Lineage: Eukaryota; Metazoa; Chordata; Aves; Passeriformes; Paridae.